AGUGAAUAGAUACCCCGGUAGUCCCAGCUGUAAACGAUGCGCGUUAGGUGUAUCGGUGACCACGAGUUACCGAGGUGCCGAAAGGGAAAACCGUGAAACGCGCCGCCUGGGAAGUACGGUCGCAAGGCUGAAACUUAAAGGAAUUGGCGGGGGAGCACUACAACGGGUGGAGCCUGCGGUUUAAUCGGACUCAACGCCGGGAAGCUCACCGGAUAAGACAGCUGGAUGAUAGCCGGGCUGAAGACUCUGCUUGACUAGCUGAGAGGAGGUGCAUGGCCGUCGUCAGUUCGUACUGUGAAGCAUCCUGUUAAGUCAGGCAACGAGCGAGACCCACGCCAACAGUUGCCAGCUUGUCCUCAGGGAUGAAGGGGACACUGUUGGGACCGCCUCUGCUAAAGAGGAGGAAGGAAUGGGCAACGGUAGGUCAGCAUGCCCCGAAUUAUCCGGGCUACACGCGGGCUACAAUGGCCAGGACAAUGGGAAUCGACACCGAAAGGUGAAGGCAAUCUCCCAAACCUGGUCUUAGUUCGGAUUGUGGGCUGC
RNAcentral lists this ribosomal RNA (543 nucleotides) under uncultured bacterium. RNAcentral describes it as "bacterial SSU rRNA". It matches the Rfam family "Archaeal small subunit ribosomal RNA", at positions 724 to 1264 of the family's 1478-position model. The record is from RNAcentral.